This 2727-nucleotide ribosomal RNA is filed under the name Triticum aestivum (bread wheat). RNAcentral describes it as "partial small subunit ribosomal RNA". The record is from RNAcentral. Lineage: Eukaryota; Viridiplantae; Streptophyta; Magnoliopsida; Poales; Poaceae.
AUGGCGAGCGGCGCCAGGAAUGGCGGGGGAGGGCUGGGCUCCAGGACGACCGCGAAGAUGGACAGGCAGCAGGGCUCCACCGCCACGCCCAAGGCCCCCGCCGGGAAGCCCCGCCUCUCCGCGGCCGGCGGCGGCGCUUACCGGCGCACCAGCUCCGGCCCGCUCCCCGCCGCGGGCGCCGGCGGGGGGCGCAACUCGUCCGAAUCCGGAGUUUCUAGCAGAGUUAGAGUUGCUGUAAGGCUAAGGCCUCGGAAUGCAGAAGAGCAGGCGGCAGAUGCUGAUUUUGCUGACUGCGUUGAACUCCAGCCAGAGCUCAAAAGACUAAAGCUUCGUAAAAACAAUUGGGAGUCCGACACAUUUGAAUUCGAUGAAGUGCUUACAGAGUUUUCUUCACAGAAGAGAGUGUAUGAAGUUGUUGCUAAACCAGUUGUGGAGAGCGUUUUGGAGGGAUAUAAUGGUACAGUUAUGGCAUAUGGGCAGACUGGUACUGGCAAGACUUUUACACUUGGAAGGCUUGGUGAUGAAGAUACUGCUGCACGAGGAAUCAUGGUCCGCGCAAUGGAGGAUAUUCUUGCUGAUAUAACCCCUGAGACUGAUACAGUAUCACUAUCUUAUCUACAGUUGUAUAUGGAAAUGAUACAAGAUCUCCUUGAUCCUGUAAAUGAUAACAUAGCCAUUGUAGAAGACCCAAGAACAGGGGAUGUUUCGUUGCCUGGGGCCACUGUAGUUGAAGUUAGAGACCAGAAGAGUUUUAUGGACCUUUUAAGGAUUGGUGAAGCUCAUCGUGUUGCUGCAAACACAAAGUUGAAUACAGAGUCAUCUCGUAGUCAUGCAAUUCUCAUGGUAAAUGUCAGAAGGGCUGUAAAAGGUAGAAGUGAAAUGAAUGUUAGCAUGUCUGCUGAAAAUGGGCAUUCAUCUUCAAUGAUGGACUCUCUACGACCACCUAUUGUCAGGAAAAGCAAGCUUGUAGUUGUAGACCUGGCAGGAUCCGAGCGAAUAGACAAAUCUGGAAGCGAGGGUCAUACAUUAGAAGAGGCGAAGUCUAUUAACUUGUCCCUAAGUUCACUAGGAAAAUGCAUCAAUGCACUUGCUGAAAGCAGCGCACAUGUACCUGUUCGUGAUUCCAAGCUUACUAGGUUGCUUAAAGAUUCAUUUGGAGGCACUGCAAGAACAUCAUUGGUUGUGACGAUUGGUCCAUCUCCAAGACAUAGGGGGGAGACUACGAGUACAAUAAUGUUUGGACAAAGAGCAAUGAAGGUUCAGAACAUGGUGAAAUUAAAGGAAGAAUUUGACUACAAAAGUUUGUGUAGGAGACUUGAUAUUGAAUUGGACAAGUUAAUCGCAGAAAAUGAAAGGCAACGUAAAUAUUUUGAUGAUGAAAUUGAACGAAUAACAGCAGAAGCGCAAUACCGUGUUGCUGAGGCAGAAAAGGAAUGCAAAGUUUCUCUAGAGAAUGAGAAAAUGAAGUAUCAUCAAGAAUACUUGGACUCUAUAAAGAUACUAGAAGAGAAGUGGAAAGUACACCAACAGUCACCUAAGAAACAGAUUAAAGAGGAGUCUACAUCAAAUGGUGACGUGCAGGACUUACUGCAGAAUGAGAAAAUGUUACGCCAAUCUGCUGAAGAUGAGUCCAAUGACCUUAAGAAUCAAUUAUCACACUGGAAAAAGAUGGAGGCCACAGCUACCGCUGAAGUAGUGAGACUCCGGAGAAUGUUGGAUACUGAAGCUAGCCAAAAAGACAAACUCGAAGAAGAAAUAGCUGUUUUGAAAAGUCAGUUAAUGCAGUUAAGUCUGGAUGCUGAUGAGACAAGAAUGAGCCUUGACACAGGAGAUGGACCAGGAAAAAUAUUUCCUGGUUUAGAUUCUUUGAUGUCUCACUCUCGGAAUUCGCAGCCUAGAGAGCAGAGCAAUGGACCUAAGGCGCCAGUCGCGAAACUCUUUGAGCAAGUUGGGUUACAGAAGAUAUUGUCAUUGCUUGAGUCGGAAGAACCUGAUGUUCGUGUUCAUGCCGUAAAAGUUGUCGCGAAUCUGGCGGCUGAAGAGGCAAAUCAAGAAAAGAUUGUAGAAGCAGGUGGCCUCACUUCCCUCCUAAUGCUGCUUAGGAGCUCUGAGGAUGAGACCAUACGCAGAGUAGCGGCAGGAGCAAUUGCUAAUCUUGCAAUGAAUGAAACGAAUCAAGAUCUUAUAAUGGCUCAAGGUGGUGUAACCUUGUUGUCAAUGACAGCAUCUGAUGCGGAGGACCCACAAACUCUAAGAAUGGUGGCUGGAGCUAUCGCCAACCUGUGUGGCAAUGACAAACUGCAAACUCGUCUAAGAGGAGAAGGUGGAAUCAAAGCAUUGCUGGGAAUGGUUAAGUGUGGCCACCCUGAUGUCCUUGCUCAAAUUGCUCGUGGCAUUGCAAACUUUGCAAAAUGUGAAUCUAGAGCAGCUACUCAAGGAAACAAGGUGGGGAGAUCAUUAUUGGUCGAUGAUGGGGCACUUCCUUGGAUCGUAAAAAACGCAAAUAAUGAGGCUGCCCCAAUUAGGCGGCACAUCGAGCUUGCACUGUGCCAUUUGGCGCAACAUGAGGUAAAUGCCAAGGAUAUCGUGAGUGAAGGCGCGCUCUGGGAACUUGUUCGGAUCUCGAGGGAUUGCUCUCGGGAAGAUAUAAGGAUGCUAGCAUACCGCACGCUGACAUCCAGCCCAACUCUUCAGUCGGAGAUGAGAAGAUUGCGGAUAGAGUGUUGA